This 2033-nucleotide long non-coding RNA is filed under the name Homo sapiens (human). Its description in RNAcentral is "HSALNT0053645". The record is from RNAcentral. Lineage: Eukaryota; Metazoa; Chordata; Mammalia; Primates; Hominidae.
GGAGAGCAGAUUAUCUGCAAUCAGCUAUGUGGAUAGCACAGCAGUUAAAAUUACUGCAUUGGCAAAAAUUUAUAAGCUACUCUGCCGUGAGAUAGCCAAAGUCCUAGAGAAUUGGGACUCCGUGAUUGAAAAGGCCACUCACCCAAAUCAUGCUUGUUCCCAGUAAGGAGCAGCCCUUCAAAUGAUGAAGGUCCUUCUGAAGCAUCAGUGUUGGCAUCUGGGACACUUUUUCUAGAAAGAACUUGCUGUGUGAACUGCAAACACUUGGGGAAAUCUUUUCACAAGGAGGUUCUAAGAGCUGAAUAGGCAUUGAGGAGCUCCAGCCCUACUCUACUCCAGCCCUAUAACUUUCAAUCAUAACCAAACUUCCCAUGGCAAUGCUAUGGUAGGGCUUUUGAAGCAGUGGCUUUAGACCCACUUGUUUCACUGUGCUCUGGUCUUCUCAACUCUCUUGUCUUAGGAUCUUGCCAGCAACUGCCCUGUUUUUUUUGCCCUAUCUCUUAGGUCUGAUUCCUCACUCAUUCUUUGGGCUUGUAGACCCUCUUGGGCUUCCCCAGCUUGGACCAUUUCAGGCUGUCAUUUGUGACUUGCACCUACUCUCUUGUUCUUCCUACAUCUGUUCAUUUCAAUUAUCCACUCACCUGACCCACCUGUAGUUUCAUUUCCAGUUCCAGCGGCCCAGAAGGGAGGUGAGAUGUAGCAAAACGACAUCUUCAAGUCUCCUGAAUCCAAACACACCUGCCACAGUUAACCAUCAUGUACACCUAGGGACAAGUCUGUGUUCAGCCAUGUGCUGUGGAUCUGUACUUUGUAGGAAUUGAGAAUAUGUAUGAAUUUGAGGUUGAUAGCUAGGAGCCAGACAUGUGACUGCCAUGUCAAACAUUCUCAGCCUGCAGUUUCUUCUCUUCAAAGGCCACCCCAGAGGCAUGAAUGUUGGUUUGCAACAAGGAGAUUAUUUCAUAAAUAUUGCUCUUUGCCAAAUCCCCAGAGGCCCUUGAAGGUUGGGUGCUAAUAAAGCUUGAAUUAUUAUUAAGCAUGUGGUCUAUGUAGGUCAUUGCCAAGUACUGGCCUGAUGAAAAGUAAAGAAAAACAAAGCAAACACAAUAACCCCAGAUAGAGCAUGGAUGAGGAAGUGCAACCCCAUUCUCCAAAUAAGAAACACACCUGAAAUCUCUAAUAUGCUUCUUUAGAAGAAGGGGGGCGGCCAGCGAGGAAUAGUGUUGGUAGACUCAGCUUUAUCCUGUAGCUUUAGGUUUUCAGUUGCUGACACAUGUUGCAGUGUUUGGCUUUUAUUUUACCCAGCAACCCCAGAAAGGGGGUGCGGUAGGAGUAGCAAAAGGAAAUGCUCCAGGAAUUCAAGGUCUUGCCUGAAGGAAACCGCAGAUGCCUUAGUCAGAUUCUGCAUGGAGGCUCUUUUCCAGAUGUUCACAGGGAGAUGACCCAUGUCAAGCUUUCGGCCACUUGGGCAAGUUUCAGGAUUGUUCUUUAGGGAGAACCUCUUCCUGAGCAAUGAGGAACAUGUGCAUUUCCCAAGCAUCCUGUUGGGUGGUAACGUUCCCUUCCUUACCAAGGUGCUUCCAGCUGAAAGGGUGUCAGUGCAGGCAGGAGAGGCAGAUGAAUGGUCUGAGGCCUGGGGUUAGGCAUCUGGAGGAAGAUGGUGGGAUUGGAGGUAUCUGGGGGUUAUUGCUGGAUCCUAGAUUUGGAAAGAUGCUCUCGGGGAGAAGGCAGUAGAUCUACUUGUGCUAAUAUGGUCUCUGGCAAGAGGAUUCCAGGCUGCGUCAUCUCCUCUGACCCUAGCAGAGAAUGAGAAUCCUUAAGAAGAAAGCGUAGAAAGCACAGGAAGAGAGGAACUCAAGCUAAGCUGAAGGGAGGAGGGCAGAGCUGGGGGAGUUGUAGCACAGUGGAGACCACACCAAGCCCUAAGCAUUCUCCUUUUUUUUAAAGAAGCCUCAGCUAAUGUUUACUUCCUCCUGUUUUACAGAAUAUUUGAAGUGAACCUGUACCUUUAGUUUCAUUUACAUAUGAAAUAAACA